This 991-nucleotide ribosomal RNA is filed under the name Streptomyces sp. BEE12L1. RNAcentral describes it as "bacterial SSU rRNA". It matches the Rfam family "Bacterial small subunit ribosomal RNA", at positions 52 to 1056 of the family's 1533-position model. The record is from RNAcentral. Lineage: Bacteria; Bacillati; Actinomycetota; Actinomycetes; Kitasatosporales; Streptomycetaceae.
UACCAUGCAAGUCGAACGAUGAACCACCUUCGGGUGGGGAUUAGUGGCGAACGGGUGAGUAACACGUGGGCAAUCUGCCCUGCACUCUGGGACAAGCCCUGGAAACGGGGUCUAAUACCGGAUACUGAACCGCUUGGGCAUCCAGGCGGUUCGAAAGCUCCGGCGGUGCAGGAUGAGCCCGCGGCCUAUCAGCUUGUUGGUGAGGUAACGGCUCACCAAGGCGACGACGGGUAGCCGGCCUGAGAGGGCGACCGGCCACACUGGGACUGAGACACGGCCCAGACUCCUACGGGAGGCAGCAGUGGGGAAUAUUGCACAAUGGGCGAAAGCCUGAUGCAGCGACGCCGCGUGAGGGAUGACGGCCUUCGGGUUGUAAACCUCUUUCAGCAGGGAAGAAGCGAAAGUGACGGUACCUGCAGAAGAAGCGCCGGCUAACUACGUGCCAGCAGCCGCGGUAAUACGUAGGGCGCGAGCGUUGUCCGGAAUUAUUGGGCGUAAAGAGCUCGUAGGCGGCUUGUCGCGUCGGUUGUGAAAGCCCGGGGCUUAACCCCGGGUCUGCAGUCGAUACGGGCAGGCUAGAGUUCGGUAGGGGAGAUCGGAAUUCCUGGUGUAGCGGUGAAAUGCGCAGAUAUCAGGAGGAACACCGGUGGCGAAGGCGGAUCUCUGGGCCGAUACUGACGCUGAGGAGCGAAAGCGUGGGGAGCGAACAGGAUUAGAUACCCUGGUAGUCCACGCCGUAAACGGUGGGCACUAGGUGUGGGCGACAUUCCACGUCGUCCGUGCCGCAGCUAACGCAUUAAGUGCCCCGCCUGGGGAGUACGGCCGCAAGGCUAAAACUCAAAGGAAUUGACGGGGGCCCGCACAAGCGGCGGAGCAUGUGGCUUAAUUCGACGCAACGCGAAGAACCUUACCAAGGCUUGACAUACACCGGAAAACCCUGGAGACAGGGUCCCCCUUGUGGUCGGUGUACAGGUGGUGCAUGGCUGUCGUC